GUUUAUAUUUGUUUAUUUAUUGGAUCUAUGUACUGGAUUUAUAUUAUCUAGAUGUUUUUAUUAAUAAUCCAUUGAGCUUUCUGACUGAAUUCCACUUUGUGCUUGGUGUGACAUUGAUUGAUUGUUGCAGAAAUAGACAUGAUUUUCUUUUGCGUUCGACUUCUGAAUUUCCAAGUGCCCCCUGAACGCCUCAGUGAACACUACAACUGAACUGCGCAUGCGCACCCUGCCGUCCUGCCGUCUUCUCUGACAACAGAACAUCGAUCCAUAUCUCCAUUUUGGUUGGCUGACUCUGAAGUACCAUCACUGCUGGUGACUUCACAGUGUCCUGCUGUGCAGCAUCUCUCCUCUAUCACGUUGGCUCUCUAUCUCUCCUAUACCUUGUAUCCACUCUGUCUACAAGUUGGCUCUCUAUCUAUCCUGUACCUUGUAUCCACUCUGUCUACAAGUUGGCUCUCUAUCUAUCCUGUCACAUCUACCGCUCUGUCUUUUGCAUAUGGCAACUCACACUUUGUGUCCCCCUCUAUCCCACUCUCACGUUGGUAAUCUUUGGCAAUGGAAUGGAACAAACUCUGGAAACCUUUCUCUGAACUGAACUGAAUUUUGGACUAAGCUCUGUUGGCUCGACUUGGGUUACUGGUACCUAAUCUAUCUGACUUGAAUACUCUGAGAGACUCUCUUCUCUCACCCUCACCUCUUACCUCUCCUAUCUACAACUUAUACACUUAUCUCUAGAACACUAUUGCUGUUUUUGCAACUCGGACAAAGCAUUUAUACUAUUUCCGAGACUUUUUCCCAACACAUUGGUUAAACAAAACUGAAAAGUUAAUUCAGAAACUGAAAGAAACCACACAUAACCUACAUAUUUUGUUGUAAUUGAUAAAAAGUACCUUUUAUCAUUUAGAAUUGAAUGGUACAUUUUCAAAUAUAUAUUUCGAGUAAAUCAUUACAUUAACAUAAUUCAAGAAAGUUGCUCCCUUGUUACUUUACAUAAAAACAAUUGUAGUAAAAGUCUAUAUCAUAUAAAAGGAAUAGUUAAUUUCCUGAUCGUUGUUGCUUUGGAGCUCCGCUGGUUUGUACCCAAAGCUUUGUUUUGGUAGCAGUACUCUAGAAAUCUGUAAUAACAAUUUCCUGUAUAAACGUACAUUAUUUCAAACAUUCAGUGUAUUUGUGUGUUUAGUUGUUUCACUUUGUUCAUACUGAAAUAAAACAAAGCCAUCUAUAAGGAGGAAGUGGAUUCAUUGGGAGUUGCUGCCUUCUGUCUGCAGGCCCGACAUUCAGAAGCUUUCAUCCAUCAUCACGUUGCCACGACAACGCUUCCUGAUUUAAUAUAAACCCAAGUAUUAUAAGUUGUUCUCUUGGUGUUCUUGAUCAGUAAAAGCAGACAAAGGUUUAAUCUAUUUUCACAUUCUGCUUUGUUAAGUUACUUUUACCAUUAAUAUUGUGUUUAGUACCUUGGUUGUGUACAAUACAAGUAAAACAAUAACAUUUGUGGUUUUGAAACACAACAAUGCCCAGAAAGAGUAAGAGGUCACAAGCUCAGAGCCAGCGCUGGCAGCGGACCAAAGAGAAUCCCUGUGCAACAACGACUGAAGGAGCAGAAUGUGUUGGUCCUGAGAGCAGUGAAGAGGUAAAGAUGUCUGCAGAGUCUCAUGCUGGAAGUGUGAAACAGGGAGUUCCAAGUGAGUCACAGGUAUCGUAUGCAGACGCAGUAAAGAGUGGACGUCACAGUGAGGAUCCAUGUACAGCAGGACCUUCUAAUGUCAGGCAGGUAAACCUUAGAGGUCAAGGUGAUGAGUCAUGUGUACCACAGGUAUCAGAUACUGUAAAGAGAGGACAACCCAGUAAAGAACCAUGUGCAGCAGGACCUUCUAAUGCAGACUGUGUAGACCCUGGAGAUCAGCCUUCUGAACAACAUGUCCGUGCAUCCCACAGCCAGGCUUCUAUCAGAUACGGCAGAUCCAGAAAUCGGCAGUGCACCUGUAACUCACUGACCUUUCUUGCAUUCCUCCAUGAGAAUGAAAGCAUCACCAGAGCAGACCUGGACCAUGUUUUGGAUAAAGGUAACACGAUGUAUAGAGAAACCAGGAAACAAGUCACUAAUCACAUCUAUCUGACCACCGACGAGCUCACUGAUGAAGUUCCUGCACGCAGCGCUACACACCAUGCAGACAUGACUCAGCUUUCAAGGUACGGCACAUUAGGAGAACCUUUACCUGGAGCUGUGGACAGCUUUCUGGACCUGGAGUCAGGACUCAGCUGCUUGUUGUCAGAUGUGAAGUACGCUCUGCUGUUGAUGAGACUCUUGUGUAUCGCAGUGUUCAGAACCAAGUCGGGCAGAUACGGUUUCUUUGACCCACACUCCAGAACAGCCAGAGGUUUGCCCCUACCAGCCGGUUCACGCACACCAGGUACUGCUGUCAUGGUGACAUUCUCACGUCUCAGUGACAUGAUUGACAGGCUCAAGAAGUCCCACAGAAUGAUGGACACACAGUCCUCUUGUAACUAUGAGUUGAAACCUGUGGAGUUUUACAAUGUGAACACAGUCAACCUGAACGAUGGUCUCCCAAACACAGACUGCAGACCUACAGCUGUCCCUGUGGAUGAAUCAAACUCACCUACAGCCACUGAUGAGACCAGUUCAC
Long non-coding RNA from Gasterosteus aculeatus aculeatus (three-spined stickleback), 2645 nucleotides. NCBI's taxonomy places the organism in Eukaryota, Metazoa, Chordata, Actinopteri, Perciformes, Gasterosteidae. The record is from Ensembl.